RNAcentral lists this transfer RNA (70 nucleotides) under Marmota monax (woodchuck). Its description in RNAcentral is "tRNA.Ala". The record is from RNAcentral. Lineage: Eukaryota; Metazoa; Chordata; Mammalia; Rodentia; Sciuridae.
AUGUGGCUCAAGUGGUAGCAAGCUCGCCUGGCAUGCGCGCGGCGCUGGGUUCGAUCCUCAGCACCACAUA